CGGAACUGGUGGAUCUGAUGUACCUGCCAGAAGGAAUAAAAACCUCUGGAUGUUUCCGUGCGUGGUAGGAUUGGAUGGUCCCUUGAAAAGGAACCAAUCAGCACUGGAGCUGAAGGACCUCAUCUGUAUCUGGGCAGACAUUUUUGUGUGAAGGUCCUCAAUCCAGUGCCUAGACUGUGUGAUUUCUUCAAAUUGCACCGGAUGAACAUUUGAGGUGAAAAUUCCUUCUCAAUUAUAGAACAGCUGAAGAUUGAAUGCCUAAGGGAUUUUAAGAAGCAAAAGAAAAAUGCGAUUCAACAGGUGGAAGAAAAAGCCGUGGACUCCUUUGUGAAAAUCAAGGGAGAAAUCAUCUUCCCUGGUCAGCAUCUCUUGGAAUCUGUUCUUGGUCAGUGGUAUUGAAUGUGAACAUAGGAGCCACCCUGUCACCAGAAGGACCAUCCAGGACCCUGCCCUGCAUUUACUUCAGGAAUCAAGAAUCACUUUAUAUUCUGAAAGGUUCUGUGGGCUCCUUAAUGCCAAUGAGAAUCUAAAGAAAGAGCCAAAUCAGCAGCAUCCAGAGGCUGUGUUCAGACAGUGCCUCCUACAAGCAGGUGGCCACGGGGAAACUCCAUGGUGGAAGUCAGGUAAGAAUUGGAGAAUGUUGGAGGGUGAAGAGUAAGAGUAUGGGGAAAGCUUUAGCAGGAAGAUAGAAAAUCAGGUGAUAC
Molecule: long non-coding RNA, 704 nt
Organism: Sapajus apella (tufted capuchin)
Lineage: Eukaryota; Metazoa; Chordata; Mammalia; Primates; Cebidae
Exons: 3
Source: RefSeq, a predicted model, not a curated record